GCUUGUCUCAAAGAUUAAGCCAUGCAUGUCUAAGUAUAAAUAACUUUUAUAUUGUGAAACUGCGAAUGGCUCAUUAAAUCAGUUAUGAUCUACGUGACAAAUUCUUUACUACUUGGAUAACCGUGGUAAUUCUAGAGCUAAUACAUGCAAAAAAGCCCUGACUUACGAAGGGGUGCACUUAUUAGAUAAAACCAACGCGGGGUAAAACCUGUUUCUUGGUGAAUCAUAAUAAUUAAGCGGAUCGCAUAGCCUUGUGCUGGCGACGGUCCACUCGAUUUUCUGCCCUAUCAUGGUUGAGAUUGUAAGAUAGAGGCUUACAAUGCCUACAACGGGUAACGGGGAAUUAGGGUUCGAUUCCGGAGAGGGAGCCUGAGAAACGGCUACCACAUCCAAGGAAGGCAGCAGG
This 406-nucleotide ribosomal RNA is filed under the name Rhizopus stolonifer. Its description in RNAcentral is "partial small subunit ribosomal RNA". It matches the Rfam family "Eukaryotic small subunit ribosomal RNA", at positions 30 to 432 of the family's 1831-position model. Lineage: Eukaryota; Fungi; Mucoromycota; Mucoromycetes; Mucorales; Rhizopodaceae. The record is from RNAcentral.